This 460-nucleotide ribosomal RNA is filed under the name uncultured bacterium. Its description in RNAcentral is "partial 16S ribosomal RNA". It matches the Rfam family "Bacterial small subunit ribosomal RNA", at positions 338 to 795 of the family's 1533-position model. The record is from RNAcentral.
CCUACGGGAGGCAGCAGUGAGGAAUAUUGGUCAAUGGACGAGAGUCUGAACCAGCCAAGUAGCGUGAAGGAUGACUGCCCUAUGGGUUGUAAACUUCUUUUAUAAAGGAAUAAAACGAGGCACGUGUGCCUUUUUGCAUGUACUUUAUGAAUAAGGAUCGGCUAACUCCGUGCCAGCAGCCGCGGUAAUACGGAGGAUCCGAGCGUUAUCCGGAUUUAUUGGGUUUAAAGGGAGCGUAGAUGGGUUGUUAAGUCAGUUGUGAAAGUUUGCGGCUCAACCGUAAAAUUGCAAUUGAUACUGGCAGUCUAGAGUACAGUUGAGGUAAGCGGAAUGCGUGGUGUAGCGGUGAAAUGCUUAGAUAUCACGAAGAACCCCGAUUGCGAAGGCAGCUUACUAAACUGUGACUGACAUUGAUGCUCGAAAGUGUGGGUAUCAAACAGGAUUAGAUACCCCAGUAGUC